Molecule: long non-coding RNA, 337 nt
Filed under: Mytilus galloprovincialis (Mediterranean mussel)
Lineage: Eukaryota; Metazoa; Mollusca; Bivalvia; Mytilida; Mytilidae
Source: RNAcentral
UGGGCGAUCCAAAGCUGGUGUACUGAAGGGCGGUCCAUUCAGCAAUAUUUCAGAAUUAGCAGCUGGGCUAUCCAUAGUCUGCAUAAAAUGAGAUAAAUUCUGCUCCGGUUGUGUGACUGCUUCAGCAUGUUACCAUGACGGAUAUUUGUAUGAAGACUGGAGCAUCUGAAAAAUAAAUAAAACCAGCAGCAAACAAAGUUCAAUUCUUAAGGGUGGGAGAGGAUGGGUCUUAAUUUUUUAACGUCCUCUCUGUUCGGUUUUCAAGGUAAAAGAGACCGUUAAAUUGCACGGACUUUUACUACUCGGCUGUCACAUGCUCAAAUUAGCAUAAUAAGAG